RNAcentral lists this ribosomal RNA (328 nucleotides) under Blastocystis sp. Its description in RNAcentral is "partial small subunit ribosomal RNA". The record is from RNAcentral. Lineage: Eukaryota; Bigyra; Opalinata; Blastocystidae.
GGAUAACCUCAUUGCUUCUAGAACUAAUACAUGUUAAGAACUUAACGACACUGUUUUAUUAGAAUGAAAACCAUAGGUUUCGGCCUAUUCGUGAGUAAUAAUAACUAAUCAUAUCGUAUGCUUAUGUAACGAUGUGUCUUUCAAGUUUCUGCCCUAUCAGCUUUCGAUGGUAGUGUAUUGGACUACCAUGGCGGUAACGGGUAACGAAGAAUUUGGGUUCUYUUUGGGAGAGGUAGCSUGAGAGAUGGMUACCACAUCCARGGAWGGCCGCRGGCGCGUAAKUUACCCAAUCSWGACACRGGGAGGUAAGACAAUAAACCAGCAAGGA